UUUUUUAAAUAAAAUUAUUCACGACAUAUGAGUGGGCAGACAAUGGAAGUCGACAGACCUGGUGAUAAUUGCUUCUAUAGAAAGUUAGCACAUGGCAGUGUCAAUCUCUUGCUUUUCUUCUGAGUAGUAUUUUAUUUAGUUGUAAUUCAAUCAAUAAUUUGCUUCUUGAAAUUAAGUAAUGAAUUUCUUGUUUUAUUUUAUAAAUCUCAGAUCCUGCCUUUACCUGCUCCCUCCUAUACUGAUGUGGUGUAUGUGGUACUGCUGAGCUUGUAUGUGAUCUGAACCAUUGUAAAGGUUGCAGUUCAAGGGCCUGAGGUGGAAGCAGAAUUUGUGAGGAUUACUACUGCUCCACUUGUUCCAAGGCUUUUUGCACAACUUGACCAAUACACUGACCAGCUCAUAAAAGUCUUCAAGAAAAAAGGAGGUGCUGCAGUGAAGAAAAUUAGACAAACUUUGGCUCCAGCCACAAAGAAGGAAACUAUUGAAAACGGGAGGGAGUGUGUCCUCAGGGCACUACCUUUUUACCUGAAUGAAGACCCAAGCAUCCUCUUCAAAGAAUAAUUGCUACAGCUACAGCUGUUCAGAGGGAGCUGGAACAAAUUACCCUUGCUAUCUUCACCAUUGAAAAAGCUGAUGUCAGCACUCCUCCAGCCGAUGUGGGUAUAAC
Long non-coding RNA from Oreochromis niloticus (Nile tilapia), 667 nucleotides. RefSeq lists it as uncharacterized. The transcript is spliced from 5 exons. Lineage: Eukaryota; Metazoa; Chordata; Actinopteri; Cichliformes; Cichlidae. The record is from RefSeq and is a predicted model, not a curated record.